CCUCUAUAAAAACCGAUUACAAUAUCAGCAUUCGAACCUGUAGAUGCUUCUUGAAAAGUGAAUUGGGAAACACUUGCCCAUCUCUGAAAAGCUCGCGAGCACGCAGACCUCAUGUCUGCCUCAUUUGGGUUUUGAACUCCAGAGCGAAACGUGUAGGUGAGUUGAUACUUAGAAGAUGGCCAUCUUCGUAUUUCCUCGGGAAAAGCAUAGUGUGAAACCAUGUGGAACAUUUUCGACUUGUGGUGGUUGCUGCUGGUUGGUUUUGAUGAGGAUGUGAGAUUGGUGACAUCAGGUACUCCACAUCGUCGGAUCAUCAUAUUCUUGAUGGUAGCAGAAUCAAGACUUCCCCUGACC
RNAcentral lists this unclassified non-coding RNA (354 nucleotides) under Hevea brasiliensis (rubber tree). The record is from RNAcentral. Lineage: Eukaryota; Viridiplantae; Streptophyta; Magnoliopsida; Malpighiales; Euphorbiaceae.